GCUGGGUGCAGUGGCUCUCGCCUGUAAUCCCAGUGACUUGGGAGGCGGAGGCAGGAGAAUCACGAGUUCAAAGCCAGCCUCAGCAACUUAGCGAGGCCCUUAGCACCUCAGUGAGACCCCGUUUCAA
RNAcentral lists this small RNA (127 nucleotides) under Marmota monax (woodchuck). The record is from RNAcentral. Lineage: Eukaryota; Metazoa; Chordata; Mammalia; Rodentia; Sciuridae.